This 579-nucleotide ribosomal RNA is filed under the name uncultured bacterium. RNAcentral describes it as "bacterial SSU rRNA". It matches the Rfam family "Bacterial small subunit ribosomal RNA", at positions 338 to 916 of the family's 1533-position model. The record is from RNAcentral.
CCUACGGGAGGCAGCAGUAGGGAAUAUUGGGCAAUGGACGGAAGUCUGACCCAGCCAUGCCGCGUGCAGGAGGAAGGCCCUCUGGGUUGUAAACUGCUUUUGUACGGGAAGAACAGCUUUGACGCGAUUAGAGUAUGACGGUACCGUAAGAAUAAGGAUCGGCUAACUACGUGCCAGCAGCCGCGGUAAUACGUAGGAUCCGAGCGUUGUCCGGAUUUAUUGGGUUUAAAGGGUGCGUAGGCGGUUUUAUAAGUCAGUGGUGAAAGUUGGCCGCUCAACGGUCAAACUGCCAUAGAUACUGUAGAACUUGAGUUAAGUUGAGGUGGGCGGAAUGUGUCAUGUAGCGGUGAAAUGCAUAGAGAUGACACAGAACACCGAUUGCGUAGGCAGCUCACUAAGCUUAUACUGACGCUGAGGCACGAAAGUGUGGGGAUCAAACAGGAUUAGAUACCCUGGUAGUCCACACUGUAAACGUUGAUAACUUGCUGUUGGCGAUACACAGUCAGUGGCUAAGGGAAACCGAUAAGUUAUCCACCUGGGGAGUACGUCCGCAAGGAUGAAACUCAAAUGAAUUGACGG